ACCACAAAGCCCUGACUCAAAGGUCGCACUACACUGCCCAGCUCUCCCCAAAAUCGUCUUUCCGCUGCGUUUGGGGCAUAUACAUUUAUAAAAUGGAUCGUUUGCGUUCCUAAAGAAUCAGUGAGACAUAGGUAUCUACCCUCCCCAUCCAAGCUUGACCCCAUCACCUGCAGAUUACAAUGCUUGUUUAUCAGAAUUUCUACCCCAUUGUGUGUGCAGAAAGAUCUAGAGGCGUAGGACAUGUUGUAAUUCCUAUCCCUUAGAGCAGUCUGGGAUGUCCUGGGUAUGUGAGUCUCCAGAAGAAAAGCAAUGUCCGCCUUCAUACGUUUUAAUUCCUUAGAUAAUCGUAAAUGUCACUUCCUGGGAGAGUUUAGGCCUUUGACAUUUAGGUAUACUACUAUAAGAACCAUUAAGGUGGGACAUGUGCUCAGUCAACCAUAGGCCAAAUAUUCUGGCGCCACCUGGGGGGUGGUGCCCUUCAAUCCCCUGUAGUGUCUAUACUCACUGUGUGGGGGAGGGGGGAGGGGAUAGAGGAAACAGAAAAACAAGAAGAAGAAACCGUCCGGUAUAGUGGGCAACAGGGGGCGGAAGAUUGCGGUCAGGAGGUCAGCUACACUCCCUUCACCAGAUGCUUCGGGAAGGCCCUGCACCCGUACUUUAAAUCUUUUGGACUUGUUGGAUAAGUCCUCCAACAGGCCCUCCACCGCUUGCAGACGAACCCGAAGAUCAUCAGCGGAGUCUGCAACCGCGUUAUGGGCUUGUAGUACUUGCUCCACCCUGGUCUCCAGCUCCGCUGUGCGAUUCCCAAUAGCCUGUGUAACAACAAGCACAGUAUGACUGCAAAGGACAAAUGGAUUAUACGGCCGUUCGGUAUUUUGUUUGUCAGCAUUCACCAUGCGAAUGCUUACCUGCCUUAACAGGCCACCUUAACUGCUAAUUAUGGCCAAUUUACCUCCCUGUUUGAUGGGCACUUUAUUCGAAUCAACCGCACGAACGCUAUGGGAACUGUAAGCUCAGCCACCAUUUCGGGACUUACACGUGUUCGCGGCCAUUUUAACUCCCGAACAGCGGUGUUUGCCGAUGAAUGUCUGGAACUAACAUCGGACACUCAAACAGGCGAACACCGCUGAGACCUCCAUACCUUCGGGAAAACAUCGCCAAAUCUACCGAACGACCGGGCGUUCGGUAGAAAGAAUUAGCAGCAGAUGGGGAUUUCAACAAACCCAGGAUGGUAUACGGAUGGCCGGCCGUUCGGGAGUUUUUACCCACGUUCUUAGACCGACUGCAGGGCCAGCAUUCAUGGAACUGUUUUCGGCUACUGUGCCCGUGCGGUCGGUCAAAACUUCUAAGUCCUAUAUGUCCCGAACGGCUGAACCGAUUGAGCUGAUUUUUACAUAUGUUGGUACCUGAAAUGUAAGCUAUCUGGGGAUAAUUUAUGUCUGUACUUGGGGUACAUCCAAACUUUGGGGAAAAACUGUUCCUUUUUAAUUAUGUUAUGUAGUUAUCUGAGGGGAGGGAAUUUACCGAAUGUAUAUUGUAUGGAUUGGUUGUACUGCUAAUUAUGUGGGUGUCUCCCUUGCAUGGGUAGAAUC
Molecule: long non-coding RNA, 1592 nt
Filed under: Pelobates cultripes (western spadefoot toad)
Lineage: Eukaryota; Metazoa; Chordata; Amphibia; Anura; Pelobatidae
Source: RNAcentral